This 1346-nucleotide ribosomal RNA is filed under the name uncultured bacterium. RNAcentral describes it as "bacterial SSU rRNA". It matches the Rfam family "Bacterial small subunit ribosomal RNA", at positions 28 to 1381 of the family's 1533-position model. The record is from RNAcentral.
GACGAACGCUGGCGGCGUGCUUAACACAUGCAAGUCGAACGGAAAGGCCCUGCUUUUGUGGGGUGCUCGAGUGGCGAACGGGUGAGUAACACGUGAGUAACCUGCCCUUGACUUUGGGAUAACUUCAGGAAACUGGGGCUAAUACCGGAUAGGAGCUCCUGCUGCAUGGUGGGGGUUGGAAAGUUUCGGCGGUUGGGGAUGGACUCGCGGCUUAUCAGCUUGUUGGUGGGGUAGUGGCUUACCAAGGCUUUGACGGGUAGCCGGCCUGAGAGGGUGACCGGCCACAUUGGGACUGAGAUACGGCCCAGACUCCUACGGGAGGCAGCAGUGGGGAAUAUUGCACAAUGGGCGGAAGCCUGAUGCAGCAACGCCGCGUGCGGGGUGACGGCCUUCGGGUUGUAAACCGCUUUCGCCUGUGACGAAGCGUGAGUGACGGUAAUGGGUAAAGAAGCACCGGCUAACUACGUGCCAGCAGCCGCGGUGAUACGUAGGGUGCGAGCGUUGUCCGGAUUUAUUGGGCGUAAAGGGCUCGUAGGUGGUUGAUCGCGUCGGAAGUGUAAUCUUGGGGCUUAACCCUGAGCGUGCUUUCGAUACGGGUUGACUUGAGGAAGGUAGGGGAGAAUGGAAUUCCUGGUGGAGCGGUGGAAUGCGCAGAUAUCAGGAGGAACGCCAGUGGCGAAGGCGGUUCUCUGGGCCUUUCCUGACGCUGAGGAGCGAAAGCGUGGGGAGCGAACAGGCUUAGAUACCCUGGUAGUCCACGCUGUAAACGGUGGGUACUAGGUGUGGGGUCCAUUCCACGGGUUCCGUGCCGUAGCUAACGCUUUAAGUACCCCGCCUGGGGAGUACGGCCGCAAGGCUAAAACUCAAAGGAAUUGACGGGGCCCCGCACAAGCGGCGGAGCAUGCGGAUUAAUUCGAUGCAACGCGUAGAACCUUACCUGGGUUUGACAUGGAUCGGGAGCGCUCAGAGAUGGGUGUGCCUCUUUUGGGGUCGGUUCACAGGUGGUGCAUGGCUGUCGUCAGCUCGUGUCGUGAGAUGUUGGGUUAAGUCCCGCAACGAGCGCAACCCUUGUUCACUGUUGCCAGCACGUUAUGGUGGGGACUCAGUGGAGACCGCCGGGGUCAACUCGGAGGAAGGUGGGGAUGACGUCAAGUCAUCAUGCCCCUUAUGUCCAGGGCUUCACGCAUGCUACAAUGGCUGGUACAGAGAGUGGCGAGCCUGUGAGGGUGAGCGAAUCUCGGAAAGCCGGUCUCAGUUCGGAUUGGGGUCUGCAACUCGACCUCAUGAAGUCGGAGUCGCUAGUAAUCGCAGAUCAGCAACGCUGCGGUGAAUACGUUCCCGGGGCU